UACGGAGGGUGCGAGCNUUAAUCGGAAUUACUGGGCGUAAAGCGCACGUAGGCUGUUACGUAAGUCAGGGGUGAAAGCCCACGGCUCAACCGUGGAAUUGCCUUUAAUACUGCGCGGCUUGAAUCCGGGAGAGGGUGGCGGAAUUCCAGGUGUAGGAGUGAAAUCCGUAGAUAUCUGGAGGAACACCAGUGGCGAAGGCGGCCACCUGGACCGGUAUUGACGCUGAGGUGCGAAAGCNUGGGGAGCAAACAGGAUUAGAUACCCUGGUAGUCCACGCUAUAAACGAUGGAUGCUG
RNAcentral lists this ribosomal RNA (295 nucleotides) under uncultured delta proteobacterium. RNAcentral describes it as "partial 16S rRNA". It matches the Rfam family "Bacterial small subunit ribosomal RNA", at positions 524 to 818 of the family's 1533-position model. The record is from RNAcentral. Lineage: Bacteria; Deltaproteobacteria.